UCCCAUCAUCGCAGCAAUGUUGUAUUAGACACUAUAUUCACAUUCAUGUGUUAUUAAUAACUACGUUUCCUGCCUGAGAAUCAUCCAUCUGCACCAAUUAUUUCUGUGUCCAUGUUCUUUUGCAAUAUUCACAUUUGGACGCAGUCAUUGCACUGUUGUCUGGCUAAUACUCGGGCUCAGAAAAACACUGGAUUCAAAAGAACAACUCGGAGACACAGUUUAAAAGUUCAAACAAUUUACCAGUGCCACAAUGUGACAUUAUGAGUAAAAUCAUUCAACAUAUGGAAAUAUUAUCAGGAAAAUAAGCUUUGGCCUAAGUAUUAGAAGUAAAGGAACUCGCUGUAGCCCCUUGUGAGUAGUGUAGUUUACACUGACUGAGCAUUUUAUUAGGAACACCACAUUAAUACUAAGCAGAGCCUCAAUUUGCUCUCAAAACAAAACAUUUUUAAAAGGAUAAUUGUAUAAUAAGCAGGUGAAUAGCUGCUAUAAUAAAACUUUGAUUUAAAAGUCUGAUAAAGGAUGGCGGAUGCAAAUUAGCUCCAGCUACAAACCAAACACAAAGUCAUUCCACUUGUUGUGCUACCUAUCGGAACAUUUAUCUGCGUUUGUUAGAUUAAAAAAAACCAAACAAACGGAUUCAUUAAUAUAUGAAUGUCUAAGCAAAUAUCACACAUACACAUCGACCAUCUUCUGUUUUAGUAAUCGCUGUACAGGCCAAGGUGCCAGGGGCUGAGUUUGAAUUGAGGAGACGGGCGAGUGUAACCCCCGGAGGGAAACAGGUAAAGAGGGCUGGUUUGUCGUCUGUGGGAAGUGAGAAUGUUUCCAAUUCCAGAGCAGAACAGGUUCAACAGGCUGUGAUGUCACGUCUUUCACCGACCUGGUGCGUGUUUCCUACCGGGCUGGUGUCUUCCGCGCUCGUCCAAGCUGCAUCCUGUUUGACUGGAUGAUCUCCUGAUGGAACCCCCUCCCUAUGAAGAGGCCAUUCUGCACCCUCCUGCUCUGCGUUCAGAAGGACCUAUCACCUCCCCUCCCCCCACCUACUACGCCAGCCUCUCCUCCCCCUCGACGCCUCCUCCCACCUAUGGGGAAGCAGUCACGCUUCGUUCUGAUCCAAUUCCCGUCCCGCCUCCGACCGCUGUGACAACUUCCGUGACCUCACGUCCCCAAAACACCAGAAACAUAACCCAUCCACUCACGCAAGUCGGUCCGACGCAGGCUGUCAACGGCGGACGAACUCGGCCGACGGUGGUCGUGACCCAGCCAUCGGCCGUUCCCGUCACGGUGACGUACCUGAGGGACCUCCCUGGUUUGGUUCGCUGCCCGCACUGCCACCACACUGUCACCACCAAAGUCACGUACCUGCCUGGUGGUGCUGCCUGGUGUAUGUGUGUAAUGCUCGCACUGAUGGGGUUGGUGUGCGGUUUCUGUCUGAUCCCGCUCAUCGUCCGAGGACUACAAGACGCACAUCACUCCUGUCCACGGUGCGGAAAGCAUCUGCACGUGUUCACAAGAUGA
Molecule: long non-coding RNA, 1515 nt
Filed under: Scophthalmus maximus (turbot)
Lineage: Eukaryota; Metazoa; Chordata; Actinopteri; Pleuronectiformes; Scophthalmidae
Description: lncRNA (ENSSMAG00000028850.1)
Source: RNAcentral